ACGAGUGGCGGACGGGUGAGUAAUGUCUGGGAAACUGCCCGGUGGAGGGGGAUAACUACUGGAAACGGUAGCUAAUACCGCAUAACGUCGCAAGACCAAAGAGGGGACCUUCGGGCCUCUUGCCAUCGGAUGUGCCCAGAUGGGAUUAGCUAGUAGGUGGGGUAACGGCUCACCUAGGCGACGAUCCCUAGCUGGUCUGAGAGGAUGACCAGCCACACUGGAACUGAGACACGGUCCAG
This 239-nucleotide ribosomal RNA is filed under the name uncultured bacterium. RNAcentral describes it as "partial 16S ribosomal RNA". It matches the Rfam family "Bacterial small subunit ribosomal RNA", at positions 91 to 334 of the family's 1533-position model. The record is from RNAcentral.